UAGAUGGAUGCUCACUGGUGUGGGGCGUUUAGCUGUUAACUAAAAGUUUGUAGGAUCGAGGCCUACCCAUCUAG
This 74-nucleotide transfer RNA is filed under the name Hoplosternum littorale (atipa). RNAcentral's name for it is "tRNA-Asn". It matches the Rfam family "tRNA". Rfam says of the family: Transfer RNA (tRNA) molecules are approximately 80 nucleotides in length. The record is from RNAcentral. Lineage: Eukaryota; Metazoa; Chordata; Actinopteri; Siluriformes; Callichthyidae.